Molecule: non-coding RNA, 27 nt
Filed under: Callithrix jacchus (white-tufted-ear marmoset)
Lineage: Eukaryota; Metazoa; Chordata; Mammalia; Primates; Cebidae
Also listed under: 1 other name
Source: RNAcentral
UGCUGUAGGUGCUCAAUAAAUGUCAGU